GAGCACAUACGGGAGGCAGCAGUAGGGAAUCUUCCACAAUAGACGAAAGACUGAUGGAGCAACGCCGCGUGAGUGAAGAAGGGUUUCGGCUCGUAAAGCUCUGUUGGGAGUGAAGAAAGAUAGAGGUAGUAACUGGCCUUUAUUUGACGGUAAUUACUUAGAAAGUCACGGCUAACUACGUGCCAGCAGCCGCGGGAAUACGGAGGGGGCAAGCGUUGUCCGGGUUUAUUGGGCGUAAA
RNAcentral lists this ribosomal RNA (239 nucleotides) under uncultured bacterium. RNAcentral describes it as "partial 16S ribosomal RNA". It matches the Rfam family "Bacterial small subunit ribosomal RNA", at positions 333 to 564 of the family's 1533-position model. The record is from RNAcentral.